GAUGCUGGAGUAUUGAAUGCCUUGCGACCACAUGAAAAUUUGGACUCUUUAGCAAUUUGGUUGUAUCAUGGCCCCACCUGGCCCAAUUGGAUGACGCCGUCGUAUUUAACCAGAUUGACAGUCUUUCAUCUUUGUUACCGCGACUCCUCUGGUUUGCCUCCUCUCGGGAAACUGCCGUCCCUUAAAGUAGUAAAGCUACAUUGGGUGUAUGAUCUGCAAGAGAUCGGAGCUGAAUUUUACGGAGUAGAAGAAGAAACAUCAUCAUCAUCAUCCUUCCCAAGUUUGGAAACACUCUAUCUUGGCGGCUUGCCGAGUUUAGCAAAGUGGGAAUUAGGUGGAAAGGCAGAAGAGGGUUCUUCUAAUUCCCAAAUGAAAUUGUAAUGCCACGCCUUUCUUCCUUGCAUAUUGUCGAGUGUCGUAAUCUAAAACAACUGCCGGACUUCCUCCUGCAAAAUGCACCACUGCAGAAUCUUCUCAUCCAUGGUCGCAACAGCUUAAUUGGCAGCCUUCCAGACGAGUUCAUCUCUCACAUCCCAAACGUCACAAUUACUGCAACUACCUCUAUUUCCGGAGAUGAUUCCUUUUUCAAAGGAAGAAAAAUAGAUAGUGAUUUAUAUGGUUAAUAUAUGAUCGAUGAGGUUCUGCAAAUGGAGCAAAGGUAGCUGAGCAAAUAAGGACAGCAGGAGGAUCGUUGAGCUGUGAUACACACCACUCGGGAAACUUGUCUUGUAUUGAGGCAUCCAUUUGAUUGAUUGAUGUGCUUUUCAUGAUUCACAGAUUCGGCCUAAAUUAUAGGACUAUCCCUUGAACGACGAUAUGAACAAAAUGGCACUUCCAUAUCAAGAGGAUAAAAGUAUCACAUUAAUUGAGCAUCAUCAAGGAUCUUGCUUUUUAAGGCAGUGACAGAAGCCAAGAGCAUGCUCCAGGGUUGAAGAUCUUACUGGUUGCUUAUGAUACUUUUUUUGCCUCUUCCAGUAGUAUGGGCUCAGCAUUCAACUCCUGAUCAAGGGCAUUAAUUUGAAUUCACAUUUCUGGCUUCAUUCUUCACAUUACAAAAAAUAGUGUAUAUUCUAAAGUUUGCAGUUGCUGGAGUUCUCAAGACAUGAUGACACUCUGGUGGAUGUUAAGCAGACAUAAACACUUCUCUUGGCUUCUGGUAUGCAUUUGACUGGUUGGUCAGUUUCUUACAUACAUUAGGAGUACUUUCGAAGCUUUCCUAUGCAUAUAUUGGCGUGACUUGGCUCUUAACUAGACAUGGUAGUAAUUUGGCAUAUGUAUCUGAAGCAUUUCUGUAUAUGUAGCAGUUGAAGCUUGAAUUUGCACUUGUAGUGGAAGCUUUUUGUUGCAAGAUGUGACCCAUGGUCUCACUCGGUUUACUGUUAAGUUUCCAAAUGUCCCCUGAGAAAUAUGGCCCUGCCUUGACAAAGAUUCAAAUUUAGCAUAACUGGAGAAGCAUCAUAUAUAUCAUAGCGGUAGCAAAUUUGCUUUAAAUUGAACAACAUGGAGUUUCCUCUUUUUGGACCUGUCUGAAGCAGUGAUGCACUAGCAAGUAGCAAGGAAAACUGUCUACCAUUGUCAUCCAUUUGAACAGUGGAUGAGACUUACCUAAAUAUCAGAUUUCCAUGGAUUUUAUAGCACGGAAGAGAGGGAAGAGUGGAUGUGACCCAAACCAAUCUCAUUUAAAUUCACCAAAAGGACAAAUGAUGUAGGGGAUGUUCAAUGAGGGUUGUGGCUCAAAACAGCUUGGACAUGGUGAAAACUGAUUGAAAAUCCUGUUGGAGUCCAGUGGAAUCAAAUUCUAGAAAAAAGAAUCACAAAAAAGCGGAAGAACAGCAUGACAAGGGCUUUGUCAGCAGUGGAACACUAAGCUGAAGUCCAAAAGGUAGAAAGACCUUCAGAGUAGCAGUGGAUCAGCAUAACAUGACACUCAUGUAGUCUUUAUGGCAUGCAAAACUGUGUAACUUACCUUCAAUUAUGAACCAUGGAAUUCAUAAUCUUGUAAGCCAUUACAUACAAAUUCUUCUGCUAUGGAUCUGAUAUAAAUCAAAAUCUACUGUGUACGAAUGUAGAAGCAUGGAGACUCCAAAAUCGCAGCAGAGUUGUCAAGCUGGUGAUUAAUCAUUAAUGAGAUGAGCGUCUCUUUCACCACUGAAGCAUAACUGACUCGAUCAGGUUCUACAAACGAAGCAAAGGACGAUUGUCAAGCAGUGAUACACCAUUUCGGAAAUUGUCUUGCAUCCUCGCAUCCAUUUGACUAUUGAUGUGCUUUCCACAAUUCUGCCAGAAGUAUAGCACAUGCAUUUUAUGGAGGACUUGUCUGAAGAACGGAUGCACUAGCAAAGGAAAACUGUCUAGUAUUCUUUUAUCCAUUUGAUCAGUGGAUGAGGAUUACCUAAACUAGCAUGGAAGAGAGUAAGAGGGGAUGUGACCCAAACCGAGCUGAUUCACAUUCAACCAAAGGACAAAUGAUGUAGGGGAUGUUCAAUGAGGGUUGCAGCUCAAAACAGCUUGGACAUGGUGAAAUCCUGAUUGAAGUUGAAUCCUGUUGGACUAGUGGAUCCAAAUUCAGGAGAAGAUUCACGACUGAGAGGAACAGCGUGUCACGGGCAUCGUCAGCAAAGGAACAGUAAGCUACAGUCCCAAAGGCUGCAAGGUUUUGAUUUCUUCUUUCACAAGGAGAGGGGACUUGUUCUAGUAGUACUAGGAUUGUGAAGAACCUAUAGAUAAAUUAAAAUAAGAGAUGCUUCCCUAAGAGAUUUACUUUGGGAGGAAUACCUGUGAGGUUUUUCUUAGGUGUAAUUGGGGCUCUCUAUUGAGAGGGGUUGAGAGGAGUGAGAUUACCUAGAGUGGUUUAUAAUUGUAAGUUGUAACCUUCUUUAUUAGUUGAUUCAUCAUCAUCAUGGUCGCCCGAGGAUGUAGGCAAUUUGGCCGAACUUCGUUAAAUUAUUGUG
Long non-coding RNA from Rosa chinensis, 2951 nucleotides. RefSeq lists it as uncharacterized. Lineage: Eukaryota; Viridiplantae; Streptophyta; Magnoliopsida; Rosales; Rosaceae. The record is from RefSeq and is a predicted model, not a curated record. The transcript is spliced from 15 exons.